AAAUGAAUAGACGGGGGCCCGCACAAGCGGAGGAACAUGUGGUUUAAUUCGAUGAUACGCGAGGAACCUUACCCGGGCUUGAAAGUUAGUGAUGGAGCGUGAAAGCGUUCUUCCCUUCGGGGCACGAAACUAGGUGCUGCAUGGUUGUCGUCAGCUCGUGCCGUGAGGUGUCGGGUUAAGUCCCAUAACGAGCGCAACCCCUACCGUUAGUUGCCAUCAGGUAAAGCUGGGAACUCUGACGGGACUGCCGGUGUAAGCCGAGAGGAGGGUGGGGAUGACGUCAAAUCAGCACGGCCCUUACGUCCGGGGCGACACACGUGUUACAAUGGUGAGUACAGAGGGUCGCUACCCUGUGAAGGGAUGCCAAUCUCGAAAACUCAUCUCAGUUCGGAUCGGAGGCUGAAACUCGCCUCCGUGAAGUUGGAUUCGCUAGUAAUCGCGCAUCAGCCAUGGCGCGGUGAAUACGUUCCCGGGCCUUGUACACACCGCCCGU
Molecule: ribosomal RNA, 493 nt
Filed under: uncultured bacterium
Lineage: Bacteria
Description: bacterial SSU rRNA
Rfam family: Bacterial small subunit ribosomal RNA
Source: RNAcentral